CAGCCGCCGCGGGAAUACGAAGGGGGCUAGCGUUGUUCGGAAUUACUGGGCGUAAAGCGCACGUAGGCGGAUACUUAAGUUAGGGGUGAAAUCCCAGGGCUCAACCCUGGAACUGCCUUUAAUACUGGGUAUCUAGAGUAUGGUAGAGGUGAGUGGAAUUCCGAGUGUAGAGGUGAAAUCCGUAGAUAUUCGGAAGAACACCAGUGGCGAAGGCGACUGACUGGACAAGUAUUGACGCUGAGGUGCGAAAGCGUGGGGAGCAAACAGGAUUAGAGACCCCCGUAGUCCCUGUCUCUUAUAA
Molecule: ribosomal RNA, 301 nt
Filed under: uncultured bacterium
Lineage: Bacteria
Description: partial 16S ribosomal RNA
Rfam family: Bacterial small subunit ribosomal RNA
Source: RNAcentral